GACGAACGCUGGCGGCGUGCCUAAUACAUGCAAGUCGAACGCAUUUUCUUUCACCGUAGCUUGCUACACCGAAAGAAAAUGAGUGGCGAACGGGUGAGUAACACGUGGGUAACCUGCCCAUCAGCGGGGGAUAACACUUGGAAACAGGUGCUAAUACCGCAAAAUUCCAUUUACCGCAUGGUAGAUGGGUGAAAGGCGCUUUUGCGUCACUGAUGGAUGGACCCGCGGUGCAUUAGCUAGUUGGUGGGGUAACGGCCUACCAAGGCUGCGAUGCAUAGCCGACCUGAGAGGGUGAUCGGCCACACUGGGACUGAGACACGGCCCAGACUCCUACGGGAGGCAGCAGUAGGGAAUCUUCGGCAAUGGACGCAAGUCUGACCGAGCAACGCCGCGUGAGUGAAGAAGGUUUUCGGAUCGUAAAACUCUGUUGUUAGAAAAGAACAAGGAUGAGAGCGGAAAGUUCAUCCCUUGACGGUAUCUAACCAGAAAGCCACGGCUAACU
Molecule: ribosomal RNA, 502 nt
Filed under: uncultured bacterium
Lineage: Bacteria
Description: bacterial SSU rRNA
Rfam family: Bacterial small subunit ribosomal RNA
Source: RNAcentral